RNAcentral lists this ribosomal RNA (765 nucleotides) under Sirolpidium palmariae. Its description in RNAcentral is "eukaryotic LSU rRNA". It matches the Rfam family "Eukaryotic large subunit ribosomal RNA", at positions 34 to 894 of the family's 3401-position model. The record is from RNAcentral. Lineage: Eukaryota; Oomycota; Peronosporomycetes; Peronosporales; Pontismataceae.
UUAAGCAUAUAACUAAGCGGAGGAAAAGAAACUAACAAGGAUUCCCCUAGUAGCGGCGAGCGAAGCGGGAACAGCCCAAGAUGAAAAUCCCUUCGGGGAGUUGUAGUCUGAGUGUCCUUGGGUGGGUCAGUGCGGGCAAGUCUUCUGGAAUGAAGCGCCAUGGAGGGUGAGAGCCCCGUCCAUCCCGCACAGGAUCCAUUCGUACAAGGACGCUUCAACCGAGUCGGGUAGCUUGGGAAUGCUGCUCUAAUUGGUGGUAAAUCUCAUCAAAGGCUAAAUAGUGGUGGGAGACCGAUAGCGAACAAGUACCGUGAGGGAAAGAUGGAAAGAACUUUGAAAAGAGAGUGAAAAGCACUUGAAACCGUCACGGGGGAAGCGGAUUGCGUGAGUGAUGGUGUCGCUUGUUCAGCGCUUUAUUGCGUGCAUUCUGGCGGCGCCGUGCCGGCGUGGCUGGCUGGACUGUGAUUUUGACAGUCUCGGCUGGUGAGGGCUCCCUCGUAUGAGGUGAGGACGCGGGCAAAAUGACGCAAUACGACCCGUCUUGAAACACGGACCAAGGAGUCUAGCACGGCUGCGAGUCGAAGAGUGAUUAAACUCAAGGGCGCAGUGAAAGCGAAAUUAUAAGCAAAUUGGGGAGGCGUUGCGUUUUUAACAAAAUGUCCUACCUCGAGCAUUUGUGCUGGGACCCGAAAGAUGGUGAACUAUGCCGGAGUAGGGCAAAGCCAGAGGAAACUCUGGUGGAGGCUCGUAGCGAUGCUGACGUGA